This 377-nucleotide ribosomal RNA is filed under the name uncultured Planctomycetota bacterium. Its description in RNAcentral is "bacterial SSU rRNA". It matches the Rfam family "Bacterial small subunit ribosomal RNA", at positions 521 to 896 of the family's 1533-position model. Lineage: Bacteria; Pseudomonadati; Planctomycetota. The record is from RNAcentral.
UAAUACGAAGGUGGCAAGCGUUGUUCGGAAUCACUGGGCUUAAAGAGUAUGUAGGCGGUCUAUCAAGCGUUUUGUGAAAGCCCUCGGCUCAACCGAGGAAUUGCUUGGCGAACUGAUAGACUUGAGGCAGGUAGGGGCGUGUGGAACUCUUGGUGGAGCGGUGGAAUGCGUAGAUAUCAAGAGGAACGCCAGAGGCGAAAGCGAUGCGCUGGGCCUGUCCUGACGCAGAGAUACGAAAGCCAGGGGAGCAAACGGGAUUAGAUACCCCGGUAGUCCUGGCCCUGAACGAUGUCCACUAGGUUGGAGGUUCUCUGACGGAGUUCCGGCCGGAGCAAAAGUGUUAAGUGGACCGCCUGGGGAGUACGGUCGCAAGGCUA